RNAcentral lists this ribosomal RNA (483 nucleotides) under uncultured bacterium. RNAcentral describes it as "bacterial SSU rRNA". It matches the Rfam family "Bacterial small subunit ribosomal RNA", at positions 28 to 526 of the family's 1533-position model. The record is from RNAcentral.
GACGAACGCUGGCGGCGUGCCUAACACAUGCAAGUCGAGCGAGGAAUUCACCCUCGGGUGAUGAACUAGCGGCGGACGGGUGAGUAACACGUGGGCAACCUACCUCAUAGAGGGGAAUAGCCUUCCGAAAGGAAGAUUAAUACCGCAUAAGAUUGUAGUAUCGCAUGAUACAGCAAUUAAAGGAGCAAUCCGCUAUGAGAUGGGCCCGCGGCGCAUUAGCUAGUUGGUGAGGUAACGGCUCACCAAGGCGACGAUGCGUAGCCGACCUGAGAGGGUGAUCGGCCACAUUGGGACGGAGACACGGCCCAGACUCUUACGGGAGGCAGCAGUGGGGAAUAUUGCACAAUGGGGGAAACCCUGAUGCAGCAACGCCGCGUGAGUGAUGACGGUCUUCGGAUUGUAAAGCUCUGUCUUCGGGGACGAUAAUGACGGUACCCGAGGAGGAAGCCACGGCUAACUACGUGCCAGCCGCCGCCGUAACAC